RNAcentral lists this ribosomal RNA (459 nucleotides) under uncultured Lachnospiraceae bacterium. RNAcentral's name for it is "bacterial SSU rRNA". It matches the Rfam family "Bacterial small subunit ribosomal RNA", at positions 925 to 1382 of the family's 1533-position model. The record is from RNAcentral. Lineage: Bacteria; Bacillati; Bacillota; Clostridia; Lachnospirales; Lachnospiraceae.
ACAAGCAGCGGAGCGAUGUGGUUUUAAUUCGAAAGCAACGCGAAGAACCUUACCAAGGCUUGACAUCCCUUGACGCGCAUAGAAGUAUGCGUUCCCUUCGGGGCAAGGAGACAGGUGGUGCAUGGUUGUCGUCAGCUCGUGUCGUGAGAUGUUGGGUUAAGUCCCGCAACGAGCGCAACCCUUAUCAUUAGUUGCCAGCGCGUAAUGGCGGGAACUCUAAUGAGACUGCCGGGGAUAACUCGGAGGAAGGUGGGGAUGACGUCAAAUCAUCAUGCCCCUUAUGACCUGGGCUACACACGUGCUACAAUGGGCGGUACAAAGGGUCGCGAACCCGCGAGGGGGAGCCAAUCCCAAAAAGCCGCUCCCAGUUCGGAUUGCAGGCUACAACUCGCCUGCAUGAAGCCGGAAUCGCUAGUAAUCGCGGAUCAGCAUGCCGCGGUGAAUACGUUCCCGGGCCUU